This 253-nucleotide ribosomal RNA is filed under the name uncultured bacterium. Its description in RNAcentral is "partial 16S ribosomal RNA". It matches the Rfam family "Bacterial small subunit ribosomal RNA", at positions 524 to 776 of the family's 1533-position model. The record is from RNAcentral.
UACGAAGGGGGCUAGCGUUGCUCGGAAUUACUGGGCGUAAAGGGCGCGUAGGCGGUUCUGUUAGUCAGGCGUGAAAUUCCUGGGCUCAACCUGGGGGCUGCGCUUGAUACGGCGGAACUAGAGGAUGGAAGAGGCUCGUGGAAUUCCCAGUGUAGAGGUGAAAUUCGUAGAUAUUGGGAAGAACACCGGUGGCGAAGGCGGCGAGCUGGUCCAUUACUGACGCUGAGGCGCGACAGCGUGGGGAGCAAACAGG